ACCCAGAUUGCUGCCUUCGUCUUACUCAUCUCAACAGUCGUCGUCAGACUGAAACCCUCAAUCGCCAUGAGUCUUUCAUGUGGAAACUCGUCGUUCAGAUUUUAUCAGUCGCUGGUUUUAACCGACACAUCUAUAUUCGUACCCGUGAAUGCAUGCAGAAUACGUAUAUUCAAGAACACCUUUUCUAUUCUUGUUAACCUGUUGAAGCUAAUGGAAAAAAAUAGUUGUCAAGUUAUGACAUUUAUAAGUAAGUAGUCUUUUGAGUUACUUGUUCUUCUCAUAGAUGAUUCAUGCAAAGUUACUACGGAAGUGGCAGUUAUGUUCCCGACUUACUUUCGGAUCCGAAGGGGCCUUUUAUCUGCCGUUCACCCACCUCUCAUUUCCAGUGUUAAUAACUCCUGACUGAAUGAAAAAAACUCAGAUGGAAUGCCAGGUUAGAAGUUGUAAGAUCAUUGAGUAAAAAUCAGCAAAGGCCAUAAGCGACGCCAUCGCUCACGUCCUUCUGGAAGUGCAACGCUCUACUUCUGAUGAUCACCAGAGAUACUCUCAACUGUCUCUUCAUUUAGGAUUUUCCUCGAAACACCUCUUCAAUCAAGAUAAAAGACAAUGCCGUAGGCAGCGUGUGAUCCAAGGCCGCUUGGAAAUGCCCUGAUUCGUCCUCAGUCUAUGCCAGCUUCUGUUAUUGGGCAGAUGUGCUCACCUCUGACUUGAAGUCACCCCCUUUGUUUCGUCGUCGUGGGUUGGAGGCCUCUUCAGACAUCACGAUACGUGUGCAAGCCACAAAGAACUACAGAUUGCUGAGUCCAUGCAGUAGAUGUUGAUUUUGGCCAGUUUUUCCACUUUGUGAAAGAUAAGAGUUCCAGACAGUACACAGCCUCCCCCACAUGGCAUACCUGCCUUGCCUUUGUAUCAGGCCAUU
Macrobrachium nipponense is the source of this 919-nucleotide long non-coding RNA. RefSeq lists it as uncharacterized. NCBI's taxonomy places the organism in Eukaryota, Metazoa, Arthropoda, Malacostraca, Decapoda, Palaemonidae. The record is from RefSeq and is a predicted model, not a curated record. The transcript has 3 exons.